Eucalyptus grandis is the source of this 512-nucleotide long non-coding RNA. RefSeq lists it as uncharacterized. The record is from RefSeq and is a predicted model, not a curated record. Lineage: Eukaryota; Viridiplantae; Streptophyta; Magnoliopsida; Myrtales; Myrtaceae. The transcript is spliced from 3 exons.
UCUCUCGACCAUCUCACAACCAUUUCCUCCGCUCGCUCGAGCUCGCUGGUCGAUUCUCCUUUUCGCGCCUCCGCCGCCGCUGCAGGUUGAUUGAGAUGCUUUUGAGCAAAAGGUGUGGAACUUGUUGACGCAUUUCCCUCUUGUUAUCUACUUUGAGAGCGGGGGCUUUUCUUCUUCCAGAAGCGCCGAUCCUUCUCCUCAGACAGACUCGACCUAGCCACCUCGACCAUCUCCAUUGGACUCUCCUCGCACCGGGCGGCCAUUUUCUCAAGCUUUGCUGACGCUGCUUCUGAUGAGCCUAAAAUGGAUGCUGCCUCCUCCUCUUCCCGUUGUAAGCCUCGGCAAGCUGUUGAGAAGUGGACACCAAAGGCACCAUCUGCCUCCUCCUCUUCCCAUUGUAAGCCACGGCGAGCUGCCGAAAAUCGGACGCCAAAGGCGUUGUUUGCCUCUCCAGCUCCUUUUGAUGAUUCUCACCUCGCAUCGAUACAGGAUGCUGGGGCGGACAAAUCAUC